RNAcentral lists this long non-coding RNA (1032 nucleotides) under Gallus gallus (chicken). RNAcentral's name for it is "lncRNA (ENSGALG00010000072.1)". Lineage: Eukaryota; Metazoa; Chordata; Aves; Galliformes; Phasianidae. The record is from RNAcentral.
CAUAGAACAGCGCCCCCGGGUGGCCACACGGCGGCAUUGCAGCCACGCGGCGACCCCAUAGGGACACAAUGGCCCCAUAGACAUACAGUGACCCCAUAGGGACACAGAGACACCAUAGAAAUACGGUGACCCCAUAGGAAUACAGUGACCCCAUAGGGACACAGAGACCCCAUAGGGACACAGAGACGCCAUAGACAUACGGUGACCCCAUAGGAAUACAGUGACCCCAGAGGGACACAAUGACCCCAUAGAAACACAGAGACCCCAUAGGGACACAGUGACCCCAUAGGGACACAGCGCCCCCUGGCGGUAACACAGCGACACUGCACCCACAGCGCCCCCAUAAAAGGGCAUUGACCACAGCGCCCCCUGGCGGUGACUGAGCGGCACUGCACCCACAGCGCCCCCUGGUGGUCACACACAGACACUGCAUCCACAGCGCCCCCAUAGGGCUGCAUCGCCCACAGCGCCCCCAUAGGGCUGCAUUGCCCACAGCGCCCCUGGCGGGCUGCAUUGCCCACAGCGCCCCCUGGCGGUGACUGAGCGGCACUGCACCCCGCAGCGAAGCGGCGGCUCUUUUAUUUCCCACUGCGUUUCCCCGACGCCGUUUUGGGUUUUUUUUGUCGUUUUUUGUCGUUUUGGUGGUUUUUUUUGGGGGGGGGGCGGUGGGGGGGGGUCACGGAAGGGCCGUUAUUAUUGGGGGGGGGGUCUGUAAUAAUAACGACCCCCCCACACCCCAAUAUCUGACCUAUGGGGGGGGUUGGAGGACCGACAAUAAUAACGCCCCUCCCCCAUUGUCUGAUAUAUGGGGGGGGCAUUUAAAGGGACACUGCGGAGUUUUUUGGGGGGGGGUAAUAAAAUGGGGGGGUUUAAAGGGAUAUGGGGGGGUUUGGGGGGGGGGGUCCCAAAAUGGGGGGGUUGGAGGACCUACCUUAAUAAUGACCCCCCCCCCAAUGACUGAUAUAUGGGGGGGGGGAGGAUUUAAAGGGACAGUGCAGACUUUGGGGGGGGGGAUUUAAAGGGCCAUGGGGG